Molecule: ribosomal RNA, 165 nt
Filed under: Enterococcus faecium
Lineage: Bacteria; Bacillati; Bacillota; Bacilli; Lactobacillales; Enterococcaceae
Description: partial 16S ribosomal RNA
Rfam family: Bacterial small subunit ribosomal RNA
Source: RNAcentral
UUUUUAUGAGAGUUUGAUCCUGGCUCAGGACGAACGCUGGCGGCGUGCCUAAUACAUGCAAGUCGAACGCUUCUUUUUCCACCGGAGCUUGCUCCACCGGAAAAAGAGGAGUGGCGAACGGGUGAGUAACACGUGGGUAACCUGCCCAUCAGAAGGGGAUAACAC